This 253-nucleotide ribosomal RNA is filed under the name uncultured bacterium. Its description in RNAcentral is "partial 16S ribosomal RNA". It matches the Rfam family "Bacterial small subunit ribosomal RNA", at positions 524 to 776 of the family's 1533-position model. The record is from RNAcentral.
UACGGGGGGGGCAAGCGUUGUUCGGAAUUACUGGGCGUAAAGGGCGCGUAGGCGGCCUGCUAAGUCAGACGUGAAAUCCCUCGGCUUAACCGGGGAACUGCGUCUGAUACUGGAUGGCUUGAGUUUGGGAGAGGGACGCGGAAUUCCAGGUGUAGCGGUGAAAUGCGUAGAUAUCUGGAGGAACACCGGUGGCGAAGGCGGCGUCCUGGACCAAUACUGACACUGAGGAGCGAAAGCCAGGGGAGCAAACGGG